GGUUUCUCUGUGUAGCCCUGGCUGUCCUGGAACUCACUCUGUAGACCAGGCUGGCCUUGAACUCAGAAAUCCAACUGCCUCUGCCUCCCGAGUGCUGGGAUUAAAGGUGUGCGCCACCAUGCCCG
RNAcentral lists this microRNA precursor (125 nucleotides) under Mus spretus (western wild mouse). RNAcentral's name for it is "predicted gene, 56299 (ENSMSPG00010037648.1)". Lineage: Eukaryota; Metazoa; Chordata; Mammalia; Rodentia; Muridae. The record is from RNAcentral.